GCCAACUACGUGCCAGCAGCCGCGGUAAUACGUAGGGUGCGAGCGUUGUCCUGAAUUACUGGGCGUAAAGAGCUCGUAGGUGGUUUGUCGCGUUGUUCGUGAAAACUCACAGCUUUCCUGUGGGCGUGCGGGCGAUACGGGCCGACUAGAGUACUGCAGGGGAGACUGGAAUUCCUGGUGUAGCGGUGGAAUGCGCAGAUAUCAGGAGGGCCUCCCCUUCGGCNGGCUCUUCUCUCUCCUUUUCCUCUCNCUNUCNUNCNCNNNCNUNNNGCCCUUUCAAAGUUUUCUNCCCUNNUNCUCCNCNCCCUCNNCNCCCUUAAUGGGGUGUGGGGUCCUUCCUUGGGAUCCGUGCCGUAGGUAACGCAUUAAGUACCCCGCCUGGGGAGUUCGGCCGCAAGGCUAAAACUCAAAGAAAUUGACGGGGGCCCGCACAAGCGGCGGAGCAUGUGGAUUAAUUCGAUGCAACGCGAAGAACCUUACCUGGGUUUGACAUGCACAGGACGACUGCAGAGAUGUGGUUUCCCUUGUGGCCUGUGUGCAGGUGGUGCAUGGCUGUCGUCAGCUCGUGUCGUGAGAUGUUGGGUUAAGUCCCGCAACGAGCGCAACCCUUGUCCUAUGUUGCCAGCGGGUUAUGCCGGGGACUCGUAGGAGACUGCCGGGGUCAACUCGGAGGAAGGUGGGGAUGACGUCAAGUCAUCAUGCCCCUUAUGUCCAGGGCUUCACACAUGCUACAAUGGCCGGUACAAAGGGCUGCGAUGCCGUGAGGUGGAGCGAAUCCUUGUAAAGCCGGUCUCAGUUCGGAUCGGGGUCUGCAACUCGACCCCGUGAAGUCGGAGUCGCUAGUAAUCGCAGAUCAGCAACGCUGCGGUGAAUACGUUCCCGGGCCCCGCAAACACCGCCCGUCAAG
RNAcentral lists this ribosomal RNA (907 nucleotides) under uncultured bacterium. RNAcentral describes it as "partial 16S ribosomal RNA". It matches the Rfam family "Bacterial small subunit ribosomal RNA", at positions 496 to 1401 of the family's 1533-position model. The record is from RNAcentral.